Molecule: long non-coding RNA, 1025 nt
Filed under: Equus caballus (horse)
Lineage: Eukaryota; Metazoa; Chordata; Mammalia; Perissodactyla; Equidae
Description: lncRNA (ENSECAG00000045316.1)
Source: RNAcentral
AGAACAUCACAUCUACAGGAACACAGAGCCCCUCCGUGUGAGCUACUGUUCCUGGGAAAGCUGGUCAUACCAAGGACAGCCCUUUGGCAAGCAUGCAGCCUUUGUUCCUCUGCCUACUUAAGCAAGCUUCUUUUGGGGGGGCGGUUGCGGGUGCACACCUCCAUCCAGUCGGCCGCCACUGGACACGCUCCCGAAUUGGUCCAUGUGAUGGCGGGAGCUGGCAAUUCUGAAAUCCACAAGGCAAGCAGCGGGCUGGAAACUCAGAAGAAAGAAGAUGGAGCCUUCUUCAGCCCAUGUUUCUAUGUGAGAAUAAUAUGGAACAGAUCCCCCCUAUAUCCCACUCCUGGCCAAUCCAAGAUGGACAUGAAGUUGCUCUGACAUGGCCAUCUGAGAACUUCCAAAAGCUGUAAAACAAACAAAUGAACAACAACAACAACAACACCAAACUCAGAAGAAAUAGCUGUUGAAAACAAGGCUUUAAGAAAUGAAAGAAAGGACCUUCCAUUUAUUGAUCAAUUACUGUGUAUAAAGCAGUAUUUCUUUACAUACAUUUUCUCAUAUCAGUACCACAAUACUAGAGCACGGCUUGACAAGUGGUACAUAGGUCUGCACCUGGGAUCUGAACUAGUGAACCCCAGGCCGCUGAAGUGGAACAUGUGAACUCAACCGCUGCACCACCGGGCUGGCCCCUAAGGUGCAGAAGACAGCCAAGCAAGUGGAGAUGCCCCUGUAAGCACACGCAGCCGCAAGAUCUUCUGAAGCAUCCAUCACAAGUUCAAGAAAGCACAAGAGAAGUGAAUCAGAAUACCAGAUGGAAUUAGCUGGAGCAGAACCAAGAGUCCCAGGAGAACUCUGCCGAUCCAAGUAAUGCACUGUGUAUGGAGAGCCCUGGAGACCCUACAACUAUCUGCUGCAUCUCCAGAGGAGCCUGUGGAGACAUGGCCAACCACGUAGAGACCAAAUGUUACACCAAUAGGCUACACAGAUUGUAAUUAUUAAAAUAAAAUCAAUAAGAUAUGAAAAGA